UACGUAGGGUGCGAGCGUUGUCCGGAAUUAUUGGGCGUAAAGAGCUCGUAGGCGGCUUGUUGCGUCGACCGUGAAAACCCGUGGCUCAACUGCGGGCUUGCGGUCGAUACGGGCGGGCUAGAGUUCGGUAGGGGGAGACUGGAAUUCCUGGUGUAGCGGUGAAAUGCGCAGAUAUCAGGAGGAACACCGAUGGCGAAGGCAGGUCUCUGGGCAUUAACUGACGCUGAGGAGCGAAAGCAUGGGGGAGCGAACAGG
RNAcentral lists this ribosomal RNA (255 nucleotides) under uncultured bacterium. RNAcentral's name for it is "partial 16S ribosomal RNA". It matches the Rfam family "Bacterial small subunit ribosomal RNA", at positions 524 to 776 of the family's 1533-position model. The record is from RNAcentral.